This 45-nucleotide non-coding RNA is filed under the name Schistosoma mansoni. Lineage: Eukaryota; Metazoa; Platyhelminthes; Trematoda; Strigeidida; Schistosomatidae. The record is from RNAcentral.
AUCCAGCUGAUGAGUUCCAAACGAGACGAAACGGAUGUCCUGUGU